GAUGAACGCUGGCGGCGUGCCUAAUACAUGCAAGUCGAGCGAACAGAUGAGGAGCUUGCUCCUCUGACGUUAGCGGCGGACGGGUGAGUAACACGUGGAUAACCUACCUAUAAGACUGGGAUAACUUCGGGAAACCGGAGCUAAUACCGGAUAAUAUAUUGAACCGCAUGGUUCGAUAGUGAAAGACGGUUUUGCUGUCACUUAUAGAUGGAUCCGCGCCGCAUUAGCUAGUUGGUAAGGUAACGGCUUACCAAGGCAACGAUGCGUAGCCGACCUGAGAGGGUGAUCGGCCACACUGGAACUGAGACACGGUCCAGACUCCUACGGGAGGCAGCAGUAGGGAAUCUUCCGCAAUGGGCGAAAGCCUGACGGAGCAACGCCGCGUGAGUGAUGAAGGUCUUCGGAUCGUAAAACUCUGUUAUUAGGGAAGAACAAAUGUGUAAGUAACUAUGCACGUCUUGACGGUACCUAAUCAGAAAGCAACGGCUAACUACGUG
This 497-nucleotide ribosomal RNA is filed under the name uncultured bacterium. RNAcentral describes it as "partial 16S ribosomal RNA". It matches the Rfam family "Bacterial small subunit ribosomal RNA", at positions 28 to 507 of the family's 1533-position model. The record is from RNAcentral.